RNAcentral lists this long non-coding RNA (864 nucleotides) under Homo sapiens (human). RNAcentral describes it as "HSALNT0027254". The record is from RNAcentral. Lineage: Eukaryota; Metazoa; Chordata; Mammalia; Primates; Hominidae.
GCUGGGAGGACAUUGUUUCCAAUUCAAAGGGAAGGUGUCUUUAGCGCUCUGUGAUGACAGCCCAGCCUCAGGAGAGGGCAGGGGAGCAGGCUGGUGUUAUUACUCCUUCCUUAAUGGGCCAAGGCUGACUCUGGGGCGUUUGUGACCUAGAGUGGGCAGUCGUCUCCCUCCCUCACCCUCCCCGCUUCCCCACUCAGCACUCCCAGCUGCAUGUCCCGGUGGCCGGGUCACGCUGAGCUUACAGGGAAACCAGUCAUUGGAUUCAGGGGCCAACCUACUCCAGGGUGACCUCAUCUUAACUGGAUUUCAUCUGCGAAGAACUCCAUUUCCAAACAAGGGGGACAUGAAAGGAGGCAGAGGACCGGGGUGGAAGUCGUCAGUGGCAUCUGAGCCCCUGGUUCUUGGCAGCAGGAUGGGGAGAGUGACACCUUCCUGCUGCCUGACUGCUGAGUAUGGAAAGGCCUGAUGCUCCUGAGGGCCCAGCACAGGACCUACGCCGGGAUGCUUCGAAAGGCCCUGGGGCUAUGAUGGCUACCGAGCGCAUUUGGCCAAAGUGUUGCUAUUCACAUGCCAGGCCUCUGGGAGGCUAGUGGGACCAGGACCACCUUCCUCCAAUGCUUCCCCACUCAAUUCAGGUUUCCCAUGAAACAGAACAUUGUAUUCAAAGACCUGAGAAUAAAUUAUUACCACCACUAAUUAUUAUAUUUAAAAGAGCAAUUUAUAAUUUAGGAGAGGGUUUAAAGAAGUUAAAAUCUCGAGUGUAUUUUUAGCUGGAACACUUUCGGUUGCUAAUGACAGGAACCCAGUUCUGUCUAGUGCAAGCAGAAAAGGGAGUUUAUUGGCUAGUGACACCAGGAUGUCCAU